ACCGACCCCUACCAAAGUUGACUUAAAAUGGUGCCAAGAUAGUUGGUGAAACAACCAAAGAUUUAUUCAGCCAAAACUGAGUAUCAAGCUAUACUAAAGCUACCCAGUAGUGAACUACUUACCACUGAAGCAGGUUUAGUAAAUGUAUCUGAAAGAUUGGAUGGGAAAUUGAUCGCAUCAGCAGAUAUACCAGCAGUAUUUGCGUCUCUCAAACUUCUUUCGAUAGGCUUCUCUCCUAAUAUCUGACCGCGGCUUUCUGCGGUCAUCUUCUGCACAUUCCGAAACAUUUUUGCAUCCACCUGUUGUUUGCCUUGAUCAUUACGUUAAUAGGCUUCUCUCCUAAUAUCCGACCGCGGCUUUCCGCGGUCAUCUUCUGUGCAUUCCGAGACAUUUUUGCAUCCACCUGUUGUUUUCCUUGAUCAUUACGUUUCUGUCUCUCCUCCCAAAG
Molecule: long non-coding RNA, 448 nt
Filed under: Nicotiana benthamiana
Lineage: Eukaryota; Viridiplantae; Streptophyta; Magnoliopsida; Solanales; Solanaceae
Description: long non-coding RNA (NBEN_LNC012971)
Source: RNAcentral